CUUCUAUCCGAAACUAAACUUGUUGUCGAUACAUUGGUGUCAGUAUACCUUUUCAAGUCAGAAGUCUUUCUAGAAACAUGCUCUCUGCUUGUUGAAGCAAUAAUGAAGUCUGCGCACAUCUUACACUCCUCAGACCCCACUUCCGAGUGAUAUAUACAUAUUGAAGGGACACUUAUUAAUCAAAUAUUUUGGCAUAUUUACUUUUGUCCCUUUCUAUUUCUGUUAGAACAUUUGCUGCAUUUUGUCCAACAGCCUAGUACUAUAUCUGUUAGUAAUGUAUGGUCAGGAUCAUUUACCGUUAUUGUCUUUUGUCAUGUAGUAAAGCACUCAUCUAUAAGGUGCUUGUUAUUCAGUGUGUUAUGCAGACAAGUAUAAUGAAUAUCACUCUUUGGUGAAAACUUGAAUCUCUGAUAUGUUUUGUGCUUCAUGAAUCAGUCAUUUCUUUAUAUCACACGAUCCUAGAAUACUUGUCAUCAUGGUAUCAGAGCGAGGUUGCUCUUGAACCAAAACCAAUCUUCUUAUUCUGUACAUCUUUUCUCCAGAUCUACUUUCUUUUCUCCUAUCAAAUCUCUUCUUCAAAAAAACUCUUCUCUAAAUGGCUUCCUCAAGCAGAGUAACUCUCUCAGACAUGUCAAACCCACUCUUCCUUCACCCUUCUGAUAAUGCCACUUCGAUACAAGUGGAUAAGCUUCAAGGUAGCUCUGACUAUCGAGCCUGGAAACGCUCAAUGGAGAUAAAUCUAUCUUCAAAGCGCAAACUUGGUUUUAUCAAUGGCACUGUGCCUCUUCCAACAGAUGACGAGACAAAAGCAGAGUUGUGGGAAACUGCAAACAACAUGGUCAUAGCCUGGAUCACAGGUAAUGUAUCUCCUACCAUUCGUCAAUCUAUCAUGUACAUGUCUAGUGCUCAAGACAUGUGGAUAAAUCUUGAGAAACGUUUUGCCUUGACAAAUGGCUCUCGAAAAUACAAGUUAUGUAAAGAUCUGUAUGCUCUAAAACAGAAUAAUAUGUCUGUUACUGAGUACUAUACGUCCAUGAAAUCUGUUUGGGAAGAGUUAGACGCCAUGAAUACACUGCCUGCUGUUUCUAACUCUUUACCUGAUGUUGUCAAGUUGUUAACAUCCAUCAAUAUUCAGAGAGAGGAAUCUCGUCUGUUCCAGUUCUUGAAUGGUCUAAAUGACAUUUUCUCAAACCAAAGAAGUCAGUUACUCAUGGUCGUACCGCUUCCUACUGUGGAAACUGCUUGUUCAGUUCUUGAACAAGAAGAAGCCCAGAGAUCUGUAUUAAACAGCACUCCCUCAAUGGACCUCAUGGCCAUGUUUGGACGAAACCAAACCGACAAACAGAUCCCUGUAUGCACUGUCUGUGGCAAGAAAGGACACCCCGCAGACAGAUGCUGGAAUGUUAUUGGCCACCCAAAAUGGCACUCUUCCAACUCCACUUCUCCUCACUUCUCUAAACCAAGAUUUCAAAAUCAAACCUCUACCACCAAAAAAUGGCCUUCCUCAGUAAAACCCUCAAACCAAAACAGAAUGACUGCUGCUAAUGUUAUCACACAGCCUCCACCUUCCAUGUCUCAAGGUUUACUAUUUACUCCUCAACAGCUUGAGCAGCUCGCCAAGUUGGUUCCUCAGUUACAAAACCCUCCAGUCCAAGAAACUGAAACUGAUGAAGAGAUUGACUACCAUUUUUCUGGCAUGCUGUCACUUACAACCAGCAAGGGUGACUCAUGUCUCUGGAUUGUUGACUCUGGAGCUUCUAACCACAUGACACCACAUCUUUCUUCUAUGCUGCAACCUACAGUGGUUCCUUUGACUCAACAAAUUAAUCUUCCAACUGGGGCCACUGCACAAAUUUCUCAUACUGGCUCCGUCAACUUUUCUACUGGCCUGACUCUGGAUAAAGUCUUAUGUGUUCCCUCAUUCAAACAUAACCUCCUUUCUGUACAGAGGCUUAUUGCAGAUAGCAACUGUGAUGUACAGUUUUUCUCUACUCACUGUACCAUCACAGACAGAACUUCUAAACUGCUUAAAGGAGUUGGACGUGCCAAAAAUGGAAUUUAUUAUCUUGAUGCAGCCUCACCUCUGGAACAGUGCAACAGUGUUUCUACACCUGCUCCACAUGGUACACACUCCUCACCCCUCUCUUUAUGGCAUCAUAGACUUGGGCAUGCUUCUAUAGGAAAAUUGAAACAUAUUCCAUGUGUUAAGCCUUUUAGUGUAGAUAAUUCACAGAUCUGUGUUUCUUGUCCUAUGUCAAAGUUUACUAAACUCCCUUUUCCUAUUAGCCAGUCAUAUGCUUUAAAACCUUUUGAGUUAAUUCACAUCGACAUUUGGGGUCCAUAUAAAGUUCCUUAUUUGGAUAAUUGUCGAUUCUUUUUAACAAUAGUCGAUGAUCAUACAAGACACACUUGGGUUUAUCUUAUCCAGCGUAAAUCUGAUGCUUUACAAAGUCUUAAGACUUUUGUAAACUAUGCUCAAACCCACUUCACUGCCGUUUUCAAAUUCCUUCGUUCUGACAACGCCUUGGAAUUUGAUGACAAACUUUGUCACCAGUUCUUCUCCGAACUUGGUAUUCUUCACCAAAAAUCCUGUGUCAAAACCCCACAACAAAACGCCCGGGUAGAGAGAAAACAUCGGCAUAUUCUUGAGAUAGCAAGGUCUUUAAGAUUUCACUCUGGUUUUCCUUUAGAUUUGUGGGGGGCGUGUGUGAUGACAGCAGUUCACAUAAUUAAUCGUCUUCCUACCCCUGUGCUUAACAACUUGACUCCAUAUCAGCUCUUAUACAAAGACCCACCUGACUAUACUCACAUGAAGAUAUUUGGUUGCCUUGCUUUUGCUUCCAAUCCCUCCUUUCCCACUGAUAAGUUUGCUCAUCGUGGAGUACCUUGUGCCUUUAUUGGUUAUCCACCUUUAAAGAAGGGACACUUAUUAUUGAACCUUCUCACAAACAAUCAAUUCAUCUCAAGAGAUGUUAUUUUCCAUGAAAACAUAUUUCCAUUUCACACCAACUCUACAAAAUCAUAUAUGCAGCCUAUACCACCCUCUCUACCUUCUUUUCAACAAACAUCAUGUGAUGAUUGGAUACCUGAAGAUGAUGACACUGAUAUAGAACCUAACAGCAGUCUGAAUACUCCAAGAUCUACACCUAAUUCACCUCAAAACACUGAUAGCUCUCUUACUCCAUCAACCUCACAAAACACUCCAAACAAUGAACCACCUAUUAGAAAGUCAACAAGAGCACAUGUUCCACCUAUGUGGCUACAAGAUUAUGUCACUUCUCAGCCAACACAACAUAUCUCGAACCUUGCCAACACAGUGGUUGAACCUCAAUUCCAAUGCUUUAUGACAAGCCUUGCUCAAACCAAUGACCCUACAUCUUUCAAGGUUGCUGUGCAAAGUGACAGCUGGGUCGAUGCUAUGAAUCAAGAGUUAGAAGCAUUAGAAUUAAACAACACUUGGUCAAUUGUUGAACUACCCCCUGGAAAAAAAGCUAUUGGGUGCAAGUGGGUCUAUAGAACCAAACUUCACCCAGAUGGAACGAUUGAAAAACACAAGGCCAGGCUUGUUGUUUUGGGAAAUAGGCAACUGUAUGGAAUUGAUUAUUCAGAAACAUUUGCACCCGUAGCAAAAUUAACCACUGUAAGGACUUUAUUGGCAGUCGCUGCUAUGGAAAACUGGCAUACUUGUCAAAUGGAUGUAAGGAACGCCUUUCUGCAUGGGGAUUUGUUAGACAUUGUGUACAUGAAGCUGCCACCUAGGUACACUCAUAUAGGUUGCAGACUCAGUAAAACAUCUGAUAACACUCUGGACAAUGAGAACAGUACUCUUGUUUGCAGAUUAAACAAGUCUCUCUACGGCCUUAAACAGUCCCCUAGGCUAUGGUUUGCUAAGCUCUCAACUUUUCUUUUAUCCAUUGGAUAUACUCAGUCCAAAGCAGACUAUAGUCUGUUCUUUCUACAUGACAGCGAUUGCUUGACUUUCAUACUGGUGUAUGUUGAUGAUCUCUUACUGUGUGGCAACUCCAUGUCUGCAAUCACCAGCCUUAAAAACAAGCUGUCACAGACCUUUCAUAUGAAGGACUUGGGGGAUCUUAGAUAUUUUCUUGGAAUAGAGAUUAAUAGAAACAGUGAUGGUAUUUUUCUUUGUCAAAAGAAAUAUACUUCUGAUAUAUUGUCUGAGUUUGGUAUGAUUAACUGCAAGCCACUUCAAUUACCACUGGAUACUCAUUUGAAACUAACCCCAGAAAAGGGGGAUCCCCUUCCUGAUCCUACUGUGUAUCAAAGACUUAUAGGUAAACUCAUUUACCUAACAAUAACAAGGCCUGACAUCUGUUUUUCAGUGCAACUCUUGUCACAAUUCAUGCAGCAGCCAACAACUGUCCAUCUUCAGUCAGCAAAACGAGUUCUGCGAUAUUUGAGUGGAACUCUUUCUCAAGGUAUUCUCCUAGCAUCAGAAUCUGCAGCCAAGCUUACAGCAUUCUGUGAUAGCGAUUGGGCUAGCUGUCCAAUCACACGGCGGUCCACAUCAGGGUACUGCAUAUUUCUGGGUGAUUCUCCCAUCUCCUGGAAAGCAAAGAAACAGAGUGUUGUGGCAAGAUCUUCCGCUGAAGCCGAGUAUAGAUCCAUGGCCUUAACCACAUGUGAAGUUACCUGGUUAACAGCCCUCCUCAAAGAUCUUGGACUCAAAAACAUUCCUCCCACUACUCUCAAAUGUGACAACAGAGCUGCUAUAGCCAUUGCUGCAAACCCAAUUCAACAUGAAAAGACAAAGCAUGUGGAUAUUGAUUGCCACUUCAUCAGGGAUCACUUAAAAGCUGGCACUAUCACAACAGAAUUCACUCCUUCAUCUGAGCAGGUGGCCGACUUACUCACAAAAAUCCUUCCUGUCAAGACUCAUCUCCAACAUGUCAGCAAGCUGGGAUCCUUCAAAUCUUCAGCAUCACCAGCUUGAGGGGGCGUAUUGAAGGGACACUUAUUAAUCAAAUAUUUUGGCAUAUUUACUUUUGUCCCUUUCUAUUUCUGUUAGAACAUUUGCUGCAUUUUGUCCAACAGCCUAGUACUAUAUCUGUUAGUAAUGUAUGGUCAGGAUCAUUUACCGUUAUUGUCUUUUGUCAUGUAGUAAAGCACUCAUCUAUAAGGUGCUUGUUAUUCAGUGUGUUAUGCAGACAAGUAUAAUGAAUAUCACUCUUUGGUGAAAACUUGAAUCUCUGAUAUGUUUUGUGCUUCAUGAAUCAGUCAUUUCUUUAUAUCACACGAUCCUAGAAUACUUGUCAUCAAUACAUGGUAUAUUUGGUUUAAUUUGGUAUACAUUGGAAUCAAUUUGAAAUGACACAACUUGGUUAGUCAACAAUAUAUAAGAACUUUGAGGUGAAAGUACACAAGCAUUAACCAAAUCAAC
Molecule: long non-coding RNA, 5398 nt
Filed under: Daucus carota (carrot)
Lineage: Eukaryota; Viridiplantae; Streptophyta; Magnoliopsida; Apiales; Apiaceae
Description: long non-coding RNA (DCAR_LNC003728)
Source: RNAcentral